RNAcentral lists this microRNA precursor (125 nucleotides) under Hordeum vulgare. RNAcentral's name for it is "microRNA MIR1122". It matches the Rfam family "MIR1120/MIR1122 microRNA precursor family". The record is from RNAcentral. Lineage: Eukaryota; Viridiplantae; Streptophyta; Magnoliopsida; Poales; Poaceae.
UUAAUACUCCCUCCGUCCGGAAAUACUUGUCAUAUGAAUGGAUGUAUCUAGAUGUAUUUUAGUUCCAGAUACAUUCAUUUUUAUACAUUUGUGCGACAAGUAAUUCUGGACGAAGGGAGUACUGU